AUCAGCACCCUGUCAAAACGGACCAAUCAACUCUCUGUAAAACAGACCAAUCAGCUCUCUGUAAAAUGGACCAAUCAGCAGGAUGUGGGUGGGUCCAGAUAAGGGAAUAAAAGCAGGCUGCCGGAGCCGGGAGUGGCAAUCCCCUAAUGUUCCCUUCCACCUUGUGGAAGUUUUGUUCUUUCGCUCUUUGCAAUAAAUCCCAUUGUUGCUCGCUCUUUGGGGUCUCACUGUCUGUGCGAGCUGUAAUACUCGCCGCAAAGGUGUCUGGCUUCACUUCCGAGACCAGCGAGACCCCGAACCCACCGGGAGGAAUGAACAACUCCGGAUGGGAGGGACAAACAACACCAGACGCACCGCCUUAAGAGUCCUAACGCUCACCGCGGAGGUCUGCGGCUUCACUCUUGAAUGAAGCCAGCGAGAUCACAAACCCACCAGAAGGAAGGAACUCUGAACACAUCCGAAAAUCAGAAGGAACAAACUCCGGACACACUACCUUUAAGAACUGUAACACUCAAAUCGCGAGGGUCCACGGCUUCGUUCUUGAAGUCAGUGAGACCAAGAACCCACAAAUUCCGGACACUUCCCCACACAGAGGGAACUGGCCUAACACUCUGGUGGUGCCAAUAGGAUGUACUGACAGAUCAGAAGUGGUCGUGAGAGAAGGAGCAAGUAGCCAGAAGAGUGAAGUGUGCACUGGCUGAGAUGUGGGAGCAGGUGUUGUUGGUUUCCCCGGAGUAAGUUACCUUGAGUGAGUUAAGGUUAAGAUAUCCCAGGGGUGAGGUUGAGCAGGCAGUUGUGUAUGUGACCCUGGGGAAAGUCUAGCUGAAGAUACAAAGAUGGGAUGAGAUCACCAAGGAGUAAGUGUCUUUAGCAAAGAGAAGAGACCAAGGACUGAAUCUGGAUACCUCAACAUUUGGAGUCAGAGCCUGAAAAGGAUCCCUCAAAAGUGCCCAAGAAGCAGCAGAAUGAGGAAAGACAGCCCAGGGAGUGUGGCACAGCUGCUCCUCACCACUUCAGGCUCCCCUGGAGUCCAAUGCACUGGGGCCUCAUUCCUGGGUAUUAUAAUUGCCUCCUAAGUGGCCUCUGGCUUAUGUCUCCUACCCCAGUUGAUGUUCAUCACAUCAGCCAGAGUGGCUCUGUUAACACCCAAGCCAGUUCCUGCCCAUCUGCUGAGAAUCUUCAAGGGCUUUCACCUCACUCUGAGUCGAAGCCAAUAUCUUCACAAUGGCCUGGCCCUUUGCCAACUGCUGUGGUUUAAAUGUUUGUACCCUUCAAAACUUAGGUUGAAAUUUGCUUGGCAACAUGGUGGUGGCAGGAGGUGGAACCUUUGGGAUGUGAUAGGGCCAAGGGCUCUGCCCUCAGGGGUAGGAUUAAUGCUGUUACAAAAGAGCAAGUUUGACUUUCUUUUGCCUCUUUGCCCUUCUACCUUCCUUCCUGGGAGGAUGCAGCAAGAAGGCCCUCGCCAGAUAUCAAGGCCUUAAGCUUGGACUUCCCAGCCUCCAGAACUGUCUUAUGUAUCAACAAAAUCACACCAGACCACCCAAAGCUGGCCCUGCCAACUGACCACACACACCCCUGCCUGAAAGGCAUGUUUCAAUGUGCAACAGACGCCUGCCACUCAGGGGACAUCAAAUGUUCAUGAGAACUCGCUAACCUCGAAACAGGUGACUGUCAAGACUGGCUGAGGAUUGAAACUCUGGGGAAAUUUGCUAGAAUAUGUGUGGAUUGCUGGGCCAGCUUCCCGAUGGGCUGAUCUUUAGGUGCCGGGCUGGGGAUGCGCAUUCUCAGCACUGCUGCUGGGUGGUUCUGUGAAGUAGACCCUUGGUAACCACUGCAUUAGACCACCUAGGUCUCUGCCACUUCCACACUGUGGACACUUCGAUGGAUCAUUCUUUGUGGUGGGCACUGUCCAGUGCAUUGCUGGAUAUUCAGCAGCAUUCCUGAACUCUUCUUGCCAGAUACCAGUAGCACCCUUCCUGUCCCCUCCCAUGUCACCAUAUGACAACCCAAAAGAUCUCCAGACGUUGCCACAUGUUCCCAGGCAGCAAACUCCCUUCCAUGGUAACUACUGUCCUAGGCUGUUUACAAGGUUAUUAGUGAUGGUGACAGCCAUAAUGAGGAACCAGGCUCUGUGCCGAGCACUCACUGCAUCUCAUUCUGUGUAAUCCUCAUGGUCAUAUUCUUAGGCAAUCUUUUCAUCAUUGUUUAUAAAACUCAGAGAAUUUAAACAGCUUUCCCAAGGUCAUGGGUAAUCAGUGGCCACAGCUUGAUGCCUACCUCUGUUUGACUCCAAAGUGGACUCAGGGGUCAGAUAGAUCCAGAGGGUGACAGAAACCUCAUCCUGGAGACUGGGGGUUCUUCCAAGGCUUGUUCUUGUCACUUUUUUUUUUUUUUUUUUUGAGAUGGAGUCUUGCUCUGUUGCCCAGGCUGGAGUGCAGUGGCGCGAUCUCAGCUCACUGCAAGCUCCGCCUCCCAGGUUCACGCCUCCCAGGUUCACGCCUCCCGAGUAGCUGGGACUACAGGUGCCUGCCACCAUACCUGGCUAAUUUUUUGUAUUUUCAGUAGGGACGGGUUUUCGCCAUGUUGGCCAGGAUAGUCUCGAUCUCCUGAACUCGUGAUCCGCCCUCCUCCGCCUCCCAAAGUGCUGGGAUUACAGGCGUGAGCCACCGCACCGGGCCUCUUGUCACUAUUUAACAAAGCAUAAUGGCUCCUCUCUGCCUACUCUACCAGAUCCAUGCUCUUUAGCCUGCCAGGCCAGGCUGUCCCUACCUCACAUCCCCUGAUCAGCUACAUUAUAAUCUAAGGCCUAUCUCCUCUUUAACCCUGAACGUACCUUGCUCAUUUUCACUGUAGGGCUGUUUCUUUCAUUCAGGGGUCUCAAACUCAAAUGUCUAUAGGGGCCUAGAGGGUAAAUUAACAAACAAAGUGGGCUCAGUGCAAGAUGAUAAAUGGCAAUGGAUCUUUCAGCCUCAUUUGGAGAGACCUUGGGAAUGGUGAGGACUGUGACCUCAGUGGAGCACCUACUUUACUGAGACAGGGCAGCUGCUUCUCCAUCUUGCCCUGUGCUAGUCUUGCUGGAUAUUUUAUUUUUCAAGAAAUAAAAUAUGGAAUGUGGAAUAAUAUGUGUGACUUAUCAAUUUUUAAAUUUUGGUAGGUUCUACAAAUUCAAAAAAACCACCCGUGGCCUGGCUCUGGGCUGAAGCUGAGUCCUGGCUUGAAAUCCCCUGCCUUAAUCUCUCUUCGAAGACUUUUCUGCAUUCAUCUGAGUCCUCAUCCUCCAAGGCAGGGCUCAGGCUUGGGCUCAGGCUCCCAGCCAUGUAUCCCUCCUGGACCAUUCCUGACUCCUUUCCAGUAUCCUUAUCACUUGUACCACAUACGUUGGCCUUUGAUCCUGUGUACUGUUGGAUUUGUCUUUACUUCACAGGUUCAUCUUGUCUCCCCAAGAACAAUGAGAGUUGCCUCAAGGGGUAGAACCAUGCUUUUUGUUUUCUUUUGAAUUCAUUACAGCACAGCCAAAAGCUCAACACACAAAACACACUCAGUAAAUAUCUGUUGAACAGAAUAAAAGCCAUUCCGCAUAACCAACCCUGAUCUCUUUUGCUGGACUGUAAACCAACCUACCUAUUGUUAGUCCUUCACAGAUUAUAUGGUGGAUCUGAACACAUCAGGUAGAACCUUUGAUAAACUUAAAGUCCUUCAUUGAAUCACUCUGUAGCCACUGUUUUCUCUAGGACAAAAGCUUUAAAUAUUUUGAGAAAAUUGUACAAGACCAUCCAUCCUGAUUCUCAUGGCUUUGGUUGUUCAGAAAGGAAAUCUUUGUACACACACCAUUUCACUGCCUCCUUUUCAGUUUCCCAAUUUGGAAAAAGGAAAAAUGUGAACUAUCCCCCUCUUCGCGUUCUUUUCUAACUGAAGUGAUAGAUUUCAGAGUCGUAUAAAGCUAAGAUUAUCGUUUAUCAUAUCUCAG
RNAcentral lists this long non-coding RNA (3967 nucleotides) under Homo sapiens (human). Its description in RNAcentral is "HSALNT0001997". The record is from RNAcentral. Lineage: Eukaryota; Metazoa; Chordata; Mammalia; Primates; Hominidae.